UUCCGGUUGAUCCCGCCGGACCUGAGGAUAAGGGAUUGAUACUAAGCCAUGCGAGUCUUUGUAGUAAUACAAGGCAGACGGCUCAGUAACACGUAGUCAAUCUACCCUAUGGACGGGGAUAACCUCGGGAAACUGAGAAUAAUACCCGACAGAUCAUAAUGCCUGGAAUGGUUUAUGGUUUAAAUGAUUUUUCGCCGUAGGAUGGGACUGCGGUCUAUCAGCUUGUUGGUGAGGUAAUGGCCCACCAAGGCUAUUACAGAUACGGGCUCUGAGAGGAGAAGCCCGGAGAUGGGUACUGAGACACGGACCCAGGUCCUAUGGGGCGCAGCAGGCGAGAAAACUUUGCAAUGUGCGAAAGCACGACAAGGUUAAUCCGAGUGUUUUCUGAUAAAGAAAUCUUUUGUUAGUUCUAAAACCACUAUCGAAUAAGGGGUGGGCAAGUUCUGGUGUCAGCCGCCGCGGUAAAACCAGCACCUCAAGUGGUCAGGAUGAUUAUUGGGCCUAAAGCAUCCGUAGCCGGCUAUGUUAGUUUUCGGUUAAAUCCAUGUGCUCAACACAUGGGCUGUCGGAAAUACUGUAUAGCUAGGGAGUGGGAGAGGUAGACGGUACUCGGGAGGAAGUGGUAAAAUGCUUUGAUCUCUCGAUGACCACCAGUGGCGAAGGCGGUCUACCAGAACAUGUCCGACGGUGAGGGAUGAAAGCUGGGGGAGCAAACCGGAUUAGAUACCCGGGUAGUCCCAGCUGUAAACUAUGCAAACUCAGUGAUGCAUUGGCUUGUGGCCAGUGCAGUGCCGCAGAGAAGUCGUUAAGUUUGCCGCCUGGGAAGUACGUACGCAAGUAUGAAACUUAAAGGAAUUGGCAAGGGAGCACCACAAGGGGUGAAGCCCUCGGUUCUCUUGGAGUCAACGCCGG
This 912-nucleotide ribosomal RNA is filed under the name uncultured archaeon. Its description in RNAcentral is "bacterial SSU rRNA". It matches the Rfam family "Archaeal small subunit ribosomal RNA", at positions 1 to 921 of the family's 1478-position model. The record is from RNAcentral.